This 400-nucleotide unclassified non-coding RNA is filed under the name uncultured bacterium. RNAcentral describes it as "contains 16S-23S intergenic spacer region". The record is from RNAcentral.
UCGCCUAGUAUCGCUGCGCGCGUGCAACUACUCAAGGAUGGGCCGGCGGUGUGCAGGCAAGCGCCUUCAACAUGGUGCCGCCACGAACCAGACCAUCGGCAAGGGCAGACUGGUUGUCGCCCUCGUGAGGCGCUAUCCCAGACGGCUCCAAACGACGUUUUGCAACACUGCGCCAAGUCUCCCCCGACGCUGCAGGCGACCGCCCAAUGUAGACGGCCCCUUUGAACGCAAUCGUCCGCAGCCGGCAUACCCGUGGCGGUGAGCCGACGAUUCCUGUUGACUCGAUUGGGAAAAUUAUCCCAAGUGUACCGUGCCCUGCAUGAGGCGCAAGGCGUGCGACAGCAGCGACCUCUCCUGAGGGGCUGGCGCCCAUGUCACAUCGUCGAGUUGCAGGCGCAAA